Molecule: long non-coding RNA, 1328 nt
Filed under: Apteryx haastii (Great spotted kiwi)
Lineage: Eukaryota; Metazoa; Chordata; Aves; Apterygiformes; Apterygidae
Description: lncRNA (ENSAHAG00000008973.1)
Source: RNAcentral
NNNNGGGGCCGCGCCGGCAGCGGGUGCCACUCCGCAGGGCGCCGGAGGGGACACGCGCCGGCCCCGCGGCUCGGAACGAAGCCGGAGCGGCCACGGGCGCCCCGGCCACAGCCCGGCUGGCCCUGCCGAGCCCGAGGACGCAGCGGCCACCCGAGCCGCGGGACCGGGGCUGAGCACCGGCACCCACGGGAACUCUGGGAUCAAGACACCCAUGGGAGCACCCGGAUCUGGGCACCGGCACCCACGGGAACUCUGGGAUCAAGACACCCAUGGGAGCACCCGGAUCCAGGCACCGGCACCCACGGGAACUCCCAGACCAAGACACCCACGGGAGCACCCGGAUCCAGGUACUAGCACCCAUGGGAACUCUGGGAUGAAGACACCCAUGGGAGCACCCGGAUGCGGGCACCAGCACCCAUGGGAACUCCAGGAUCAAGACACCUAUGGGAGCAUCCGGACCUGGGCACUGGCACCCAUGGGAACUCCAGGACCAAGACACCCAUGGGAGCACCCGGAUCCGGGUACUAGCACCCAUGGGAACUCUGGGAUCAGGACACCCAUGGGAGCAUCCAGACCUCGGCACCAGCACCCAUGGGAGCCCCCGGACCCGCACAAGAGCCCCCAGACCCAAACACCCACGGGAGCCUCCGUGCCCGGUCACCGGCACCCACGGGAAUUCCCAGACACGGACACCCUCGGGAGCCCCAAGCACCGGCACCCACGCGAGUCCCCGUGUCCGGGCACCCCCGGGAGCCCCCGGGUGAGAAAGCCCCGGCAGCGGGAAACGAGGGGGAUGUCCGGGGCCGGACUUCCCCCGGGGCCGCCCCGAGCCGCGGCUCCCACCCCCGCGGGCGGCGGCGCUCCCAGAGCCGGCUCCCCCCGGGCACCGGGCACCGGCCCCCGCCGACCGGGGGGGAGGGGAGGGGAAGGGAGGGCGGGGGGGGGCGGCCCGGGAGGGAGCACCGGGACCCGGCCGGGGGCGCACGGGAGGGGACGCGCCGUUGUGCGCCGCGAAGCGCGGGACGGACGCGCCGCCGGGACGGCGGCGGCGAUGCCCCGGCAGGGCGCACCGGGACCCCGACGGCGGCGCACCGGGAGCGGAGCGGGGGUCUCCCCCCCCUUCCCCUCUCCUCCCCUCCCCGGAGGCCCGGCGCGGCGGGGGGUCCGUCUCUCACCAGCACCAGGGCGAACCGCUCCUCCAGCUCGCAGGGCUCCGGCAUCGGCAUCUUGCCCGGGACGAGCAGCCCGGGCCCCGCCGGGGCCGCCGCCGCGCCCGGGCCCCGGGGCAGCGCCUCCCCGUCCGCGCUCUCCACGUUCCCCAUCCCCGG